Molecule: ribosomal RNA, 497 nt
Filed under: uncultured bacterium
Lineage: Bacteria
Description: partial 16S ribosomal RNA
Rfam family: Bacterial small subunit ribosomal RNA
Source: RNAcentral
GAUGAACGCUGGCGGCGUGCCUAAUACAUGCAAGUCGAGCGAACGGACGAGAAGCUUGCUUCUCUGAUGUUAGCGGCGGACGGGUGAGUAACACGUGGAUAACCUACCUAUAAGACUGGGAUAACUUCGGGAAACCGGAGCUAAUACCGGAUAAUAUUUUGAACCGCAUGGUUCAAAAGUGAAAGACGGUCUUGCUGUCACUUAUAGAUGGAUCCGCGCUGCAUUAGCUAGUUGGUAAGGUAACGGCUUACCAAGGCAACGAUGCAUAGCCGACCUGAGAGGAGGAUCAGCCACACUGGAACUGAGACACGGUCCAGACUCCUACGGGAGGGAGCAGGGGGGAAUAUUGGACAAUGGUCGCAAGCCUAAUCCUGCAAUACCGCGUGAAUGAAGAAGGACGUCGGAUUGUAAAGCCCUUUUGUUGUGAAAGAAAAGCAGCAGGUUAAUACCCCGCUGCUCUCACGGUACCCAAAGAAUAAGCACCGGCGAACUUCGUG